Molecule: ribosomal RNA, 491 nt
Filed under: uncultured bacterium
Lineage: Bacteria
Description: bacterial SSU rRNA
Rfam family: Bacterial small subunit ribosomal RNA
Source: RNAcentral
AUGAACGCAGCGGCAGGCUUAAUACAUGCAAGUGAGGGCAGCAUGAUAUACGCGAGUAUAUUGAUGGCGACCGGCGGACGGGUGAGUAAUAGGUAGGAGACCUACCUCAUACAGGGGGAUAGCAUAGAGAAAUCUGUGGUAAUACCCCAUGAGGUUAUAUGAAUAGAGGCAUAUAAUCAAAGCAUAAGCGAUUAUGCGGUAUGAGAGGGGCCUACUGACCAUUAGCUAGUUGGUGAGGUAAGGGCUCACCAAGGCGAAGAUGGUUAGGGGUUUUGAGAGAGAGACCCCCCACAUUGGAACUGAGAGACGGUCCAGACUCCUACGGGAGGCAGCAGUAGGGAAUAUUGGGCAAUGGGCGAAAGCCUGACCCAGCCAUGCCGCGUGAAGGAAGACGGCCUUAUGGGUUGUAAACUUCUUUACUACGCGAAUAGAGGUUAGUACGAGAUACUAAUAGGAAGGUAGUGUAGUAAAAAGCACCGGCUAACUCCGUG